Molecule: transfer RNA, 84 nt
Filed under: bacterium
Lineage: Bacteria
Also listed under: 1 other name
Description: tRNA-Tyr
Rfam family: tRNA
About the family: Transfer RNA (tRNA) molecules are approximately 80 nucleotides in length. Their secondary structure includes four short double-helical elements and three loops (D, anti-codon, and T loops). Further hydrogen bonds mediate the characteristic L-shaped molecular structure. tRNAs have two regions of fundamental functional importance: the anti-codon, which is responsible for specific mRNA codon recognition, and the 3' end, to which the tRNAs corresponding amino acid is attached (by aminoacyl-tRNA synthetases). tRNAs cope with the degeneracy of the genetic code in two manners: having more than one tRNA (with a specific anti-codon) for a particular amino acid; and 'wobble' base-pairing, i.e. permitting non-standard base-pairing at the 3rd anti-codon position.
Source: RNAcentral
GGAGGGGUACCCAAGCGGCCAAAGGGGGCAGACUGUAAAUCUGCUGGCUUUAGGCCUUCGGUGGUUCGAAUCCACCCCCCUCCA